RNAcentral lists this ribosomal RNA (497 nucleotides) under uncultured bacterium. Its description in RNAcentral is "partial 16S ribosomal RNA". It matches the Rfam family "Bacterial small subunit ribosomal RNA", at positions 28 to 507 of the family's 1533-position model. The record is from RNAcentral.
GAUGAACGCUGGCGGUGUGCCUAAUACAUGCAAGUCGAGCGAACAGACGAGGAGCUUACUCCUCUGACGUUAGCGGCGGACGGGUGAGUAACACGUGGAUAACCUACCUAUAAGACUGGGAUAACUUCGGGAAACCGGAGCUAAUACCGGAUAACAUGUUGAACCGCAUGGUUCAACAGUGAAAGACGGUCUUGCUGUCACUUAUAGAUGGAUCCGCGUCGCAUUAGCUAGUUGGUAAGGUAACGGCUUACCAAGGCAACGAUGCGUAGCCGACCUGAGAGGGGGACCGGCCACACUGGAACUGAGACCCGGUCCAAACUCCUAAGGGAGGCAGCAGUAGGGAAUCUUCCGCAAUGGGCGAAAGCCUGACGGAGCAACGCCGCGUGAGGUAAGAAGGUCUUCGGAUCGUAAAACUCUUUUAUUAGGGAAGGACAAAUGUGUAAGUAACUAUGCACGUCUUGACGGUUCCUAAUCAGAAAGCCACGGCUAACUACGUG